This 1203-nucleotide ribosomal RNA is filed under the name Microbacterium sp. WLJ053. Its description in RNAcentral is "bacterial SSU rRNA". It matches the Rfam family "Bacterial small subunit ribosomal RNA", at positions 110 to 1325 of the family's 1533-position model. Lineage: Bacteria; Bacillati; Actinomycetota; Actinomycetes; Micrococcales; Microbacteriaceae. The record is from RNAcentral.
GUAACACGUGAGCAACCUACCCCUGACUCUGGGAUAAGCGCUGGAAACGGCGUCUAAUACUGGAUACGAGUGGCGACCGCAUGGUCAGCUACUGGAAAGAUUUAUUGGUUGGGGAUGGGCUCGCGGCCUAUCAGCUUGUUGGUGAGGUAAUGGCUCACCAAGGCGUCGACGGGUAGCCGGCCUGAGAGGGUGACCGGCCACACUGGGACUGAGACACGGCCCAGACUCCUACGGGAGGCAGCAGUGGGGAAUAUUGCACAAUGGGCGCAAGCCUGAUGCAGCAACGCCGCGUGAGGGAUGACGGCCUUCGGGUUGUAAACCUCUUUUAGCAGGGAAGAAGCGAAAGUGACGGUACCUGCAGAAAAAGCGCCGGCUAACUACGUGCCAGCAGCCGCGGUAAUACGUAGGGCGCAAGCGUUAUCCGGAAUUAUUGGGCGUAAAGAGCUCGUAGGCGGUUUGUCGCGUCUGCUGUGAAAUCCGGAGGCUCAACCUCCGGCCUGCAGUGGGUACGGGCAGACUAGAGUGCGGUAGGGGAGAUUGGAAUUCCUGGUGUAGCGGUGGAAUGCGCAGAUAUCAGGAGGAACACCGAUGGCGAAGGCAGAUCUCUGGGCCGUAACUGACGCUGAGGAGCGAAAGGGUGGGGAGCAAACAGGCUUAGAUACCCUGGUAGUCCACCCCGUAAACGUUGGGAACUAGUUGUGGGGUCCAUUCCACGGAUUCCGUGACGCAGCUAACGCAUUAAGUUCCCCGCCUGGGGAGUACGGCCGCAAGGCUAAAACUCAAAGGAAUUGACGGGGACCCGCACAAGCGGCGGAGCAUGCGGAUUAAUUCGAUGCAACGCGAAGAACCUUACCAAGGCUUGACAUAUACGAGAACGGGCCAGAAAUGGUCAACUCUUUGGACACUCGUAAACAGGUGGUGCAUGGUUGUCGUCAGCUCGUGUCGUGAGAUGUUGGGUUAAGUCCCGCAACGAGCGCAACCCUCGUUCUAUGUUGCCAGCACGUAAUGGUGGGAACUCAUGGGAUACUGCCGGGGUCAACUCGGAGGAAGGUGGGGAUGACGUCAAAUCAUCAUGCCCCUUAUGUCUUGGGCUUCACGCAUGCUACAAUGGCCGGUACAAAGGGCUGCAAUACCGCGAGGUGGAGCGAAUCCCAAAAAGCCGGUCCCAGUUCGGAUUGAGGUCUGCAACUCGACCUCAUGAAG